UACGAAGGGGGCUAGCGUUGCUCGGAAUGACUGGGCGUAAAGGGCGCGUAGGCGGAUGGCACAGUCAGAUGUGAAAUUCCUGGGCUUAACCUGGGGGCUGCAUUUGAUACGUGUGAUCUGGAGUGAGGAAGAGGGUUGUGGAAUUCCCAGUGUAGAGGUGAAAUUCGUAGAUAUUGGGAAGAACACCGGUGGCGAAGGCGGCGACCUGGUCCUUGACUGACGCUGAGGCGCGAAAGCGUGGGGAGCAAACAGG
RNAcentral lists this ribosomal RNA (253 nucleotides) under uncultured bacterium. RNAcentral's name for it is "partial 16S ribosomal RNA". It matches the Rfam family "Bacterial small subunit ribosomal RNA", at positions 524 to 776 of the family's 1533-position model. The record is from RNAcentral.